RNAcentral lists this ribosomal RNA (321 nucleotides) under uncultured eukaryote. RNAcentral describes it as "partial 18S ribosomal RNA". It matches the Rfam family "Eukaryotic small subunit ribosomal RNA", at positions 1470 to 1796 of the family's 1831-position model. The record is from RNAcentral.
CCCUUAGAUGUUCUGGGCUGCACGCGCGCUACACUGAAGCGUUCAACGAGUAUUCACCUUGCCCGGGAGGGUUGGGUAAUCUUUUGAAAACGCUUCGUGAUGGGGAUAGAUUAUUGCAAUUAUUAAUCUUCAACGAGGAAUUCCUAGUAAACACAAGUCAUCAGCUUGCAUUGAUUACGUCCCUGCCCUUUGUACACACCGCCCGUCGCACCUACCGAUUGAAUGGUCCGGUGAAAUCUCGGGACGGCGGCUUGGUCGCUUGCGUCCGACUGCUGAAACUUGAUUAAACCAUAUCAUUUAGAGGAAGGUGAANUCGUANCA